UACGAGGGUGGCAAACGUUAUCCGGAUUUAUUGGGUGUAAAGCGUCCCCAGGCGGUCUGAUUAGUUUUUGGUUAAAUCUUUGGGCCUAACCCAAAAACCGCCAAAAAUACUGUCAGACUAGAGACCGGGAGAGGUUAGUGGAAUAGCCGGUGUAGUAGUAAAAUGCGUUAAUAUCGGCUAGAACACCAAUAGCGAAGGCAACUAACUAGAACGGUUCUGACGCUCAUAGGACGAAAGCGUGGGUAGCAAAUGGG
Molecule: ribosomal RNA, 254 nt
Filed under: uncultured bacterium
Lineage: Bacteria
Description: partial 16S ribosomal RNA
Rfam family: Bacterial small subunit ribosomal RNA
Source: RNAcentral